Molecule: non-coding RNA, 672 nt
Organism: Camellia sinensis
Lineage: Eukaryota; Viridiplantae; Streptophyta; Magnoliopsida; Ericales; Theaceae
Source: RefSeq, a predicted model, not a curated record
GACGGCGAGCGGCGGCAGACGACGGAGAGCGGCAGACGAGGGCCAGCCGACAGUAGCCGAAGCGCCAGCCGAGAUCAGAGACCUCUUCGACCGUUACUCCGAAAAUGGAAUCAUGACCGUCGAUCACCUUCACAGGUUCUUGAUCGAGGUUGAGGGAGAAGAUAAAGCCACAAAAGAAGACGCAGAGUCGAUCAUGGAGUCUCUCAAUGAACUCAAACACCUCAAUAUCUUCCAUCGCAAAGGUCUCCAUCUCGAAGCCUUCUUUCACUACCUCUUCAGCGACUCUAAUCCUCCUCUCUCUCCUUCUCCUAAGGCAUAGCCGUGGCAUCUCAAGCUUCUUCAGCUAAUAUAAAAAGGAAAACGGAGAAACAUGUUGAUGAUGGUGGUGGUGAUAUAGUUAAAGCAGUACCAAACCUGAAGUUGCUUCAGCAUCAUCAUUGCGAAGUGCUAGUGAGUAUGACAAUUCAACUCCAUUGGUCCAGGUUACGACAUACAAUAGCGUUGAAGUUCAGGAGUUCUCAUCUGAUGGCAAGAUUUGAAUAUUUUCCUCCCUGUUUUUAGCAGUAGUUGUGUAAUUAUUCUUAGAGCCUGUUUGGUGCAGCUUUUCCAAAGCUGUAAGUUGAUGAUAAAUAGAAGCUAAAAGAAUGAUUUCCCCAGCUUUUUUCAACUUUA